GGAGCUGUGGCUCAGUGGUAGAGCAUUUGCCUAGCAUGUGGGAAGCCCUGGGUUUGAUCCCUAGCACCA
This 69-nucleotide transfer RNA is filed under the name Urocitellus parryii (Arctic ground squirrel). RNAcentral describes it as "Spermophilus parryii (Arctic ground squirrel) tRNA". It matches the Rfam family "tRNA". Rfam says of the family: Transfer RNA (tRNA) molecules are approximately 80 nucleotides in length. RNAcentral also lists the same sequence under 2 other names. Lineage: Eukaryota; Metazoa; Chordata; Mammalia; Rodentia; Sciuridae. The record is from Rfam by way of RNAcentral.